AAACUUUCAACAACGGAUCUCUUGGUUCUGGCAUCGAUGAAGAACGCAGCGAAAUGCGACAAGUAAUGUGAAUUGCAGAAUUAAGCGAAUCAUCGAAUCUUUGAACGCACAUUGCGCCC
This 119-nucleotide ribosomal RNA is filed under the name Ophiocordyceps sp. RNAcentral's name for it is "partial 5.8S rRNA". It matches the Rfam family "5.8S ribosomal RNA", at positions 1 to 118 of the family's 154-position model. Rfam says of the family: 5.8S ribosomal RNA (5.8S rRNA) is a component of the large subunit of the eukaryotic ribosome. It is transcribed by RNA polymerase I as part of the 45S precursor that also contains 18S and 28S rRNA. The record is from RNAcentral. Lineage: Eukaryota; Fungi; Ascomycota; Sordariomycetes; Hypocreales; Ophiocordycipitaceae.